RNAcentral lists this ribosomal RNA (358 nucleotides) under Heterocheila buccata. Its description in RNAcentral is "partial 12S ribosomal RNA". Lineage: Eukaryota; Metazoa; Arthropoda; Insecta; Diptera; Heterocheilidae. The record is from RNAcentral.
CUUGAGUAGUAUUAGUUAUGAUCUUGAAACUUAAAAAAUUUGGCGGUAUUUUAGUCUAUUCAGAGGAACCUGUUUUAUAAUCGAUAAUCCACGUUGGACCUUUCUUAAGCUUGUAUUUCAGUUUAUAUACCGUCGUUAUAAGAAUAUUUUAUAAGAAAAAUAAUUUUCAAUAAUUUUAAUUAAAAUUUAUAUCAGAUCAAGGUGUAGCUUAUGUUUAAGUAAAAAUGGGUUACAAUAAAUUUAUUUAAAUGGAUGUAAAGAUGAAAAAUUUACUGAAAGUGGAUUUGAAAGUAAAAUUAUAGAGAUAAAUAAUUUGAUUUUAGCUCUAAAAUAUGCACACAUCGCCCGUCGCUCUUAA